GACAGAGGAUGCAAGCGUUAUCCGGAAUGAUUGGGCGUAAAGCGUCUGUAGGUGGCUUUCAAGUCCGCCGUCAAAUCCCAGGGCUCAACCCUGGACAGGCGGUGGAAACUACCAAGCUGGAGUACGGUAGGGGCAGGAGGGAAUUUCCGGUGGAGCGGUGAAAUGCAUUGAGAUCGGAAAGAACACCAACGGCGAAAGCACUCUGCUGGCCGGACACUGACACUGAGGAGCGAAAGGCAUGGGGAGCGAACAGG
RNAcentral lists this ribosomal RNA (254 nucleotides) under uncultured bacterium. Its description in RNAcentral is "partial 16S ribosomal RNA". It matches the Rfam family "Bacterial small subunit ribosomal RNA", at positions 524 to 776 of the family's 1533-position model. The record is from RNAcentral.